AGAGCGAACGCUGGCGGCAGGCCUAACACAUGCAAGUCGAUCGCCCGUAGCAAUACGGGAGCGGCAGACGGGAUAGUAACACGUGGGAACGCGCCCUUCGGUUCGGAAUAACUCAGGGAAACUUGAGCUAAUACCGAAUACGCCCUUACGGGGAAAGAUUUAUUGCCGAAGGAACGGCCCGCGUCCGAUUAGCUAGUUGGUGAGGUAAUGGCUCACCAAGGCUACGAUCGGUAGCUGGUCUGAGAGGAUGACCAGCAUCACUGGGACUGAGACACGGCCCAGACUCCUACGGGAGGCAGCAGUGGGGAAUAUUGGACAAUGGGCGCAAGCCUGAUCCAGCCAUGCCGCGUGGAUGAUGAAGGCCUUAGGGUUGUAAAGUCCUUUUAACGGGGAAGAUAAUGACGGUACCCGUAGAAUAAGCCCCGGCUAACUUCGUGCCAGCAGCCGC
This 448-nucleotide ribosomal RNA is filed under the name uncultured bacterium. Its description in RNAcentral is "SSU rRNA". It matches the Rfam family "Bacterial small subunit ribosomal RNA", at positions 26 to 518 of the family's 1533-position model. The record is from RNAcentral.